CAUAUACUCCCUCCGUCCGGAAAUACUUGUCCCAGAAAUGGUUGUAUCUAGACUUAUUUUAGUUAUAGAUACAUCCAUUUUAUCCAUUUAUAGGACAAGUAUUUCCAGACGGAGGGAGUAUGUU
This is a non-coding RNA of Triticum aestivum (bread wheat), 124 nucleotides long. NCBI's taxonomy places the organism in Eukaryota, Viridiplantae, Streptophyta, Magnoliopsida, Poales, Poaceae. The record is from Rfam.